This is a long non-coding RNA of Cyprinus carpio (common carp), 1693 nucleotides long. The record is from Ensembl. NCBI's taxonomy places the organism in Eukaryota, Metazoa, Chordata, Actinopteri, Cypriniformes, Cyprinidae.
GAAUGUUUUUCUUGCUGAUCUGUGAAGACCCCAGAAGACUGUAGCGAUCCGUUUUCAUGAACAUGAGGCAUCAGUUCCUGCUAUCUUGGCAAAAGUCCAAGAUGCUAUUGGAUCAGAAGAUGGUAUGAUACUGACUGAUGGCCAGGGGAAUGAAAUUCUCCAUACAGAGGGAACAAAAGAUAACUGCAAAAGAUGAGAUUGACUACAAGCUGUUUUAAAAAAUCUAAGAAAAACACAAUGAAAACAACAGUAAGGUCAGAGAAAUGUAAUACCAGUUGAUAAAAAAAAAGUUCUAUACACCUAAACAAUAUAAAUAUGAUUUUAAAAAUUUGUGAAAUAAAGGGUUUAAUUCACAUAAAAAUAUGAUACACAUUAAAAUGACCUGAAUUUUUCUGACCCUCAAAAAGUUAAAGAAAAAUGAUCAGGUUCCGAUUGAUGAAGCCUUGAUAGAGGGCAAAAAGCACAUUGAAAGCAGCUUGUUUUGGUGUCUGCAUUUUAGAAGUGUUGUUUUCCUAUUAUAAAAUCUUGACAUAAUUCAUCUUUUAAAAUACAAAUGAUUUCCCCAGGAUCAGCUUACUGGAAACAAAAUUCUAGGAAGGUUUUUGCUGUGCCUGAACAACAGUUCUUGGAUAUGAGAUCCAAAAGGAGAAGAUUAAGCCAACGGGAUGAUGACAGCCAGCUACCAGAGGUCUUAGAAAGAACUGAAGAGGUGGUGUUGGCAUCCCAAAAACUGCCAGAGGUUGCACAGGCCAUCAGAGGCUUAUCUGAGCUGACGCUGGCACGCAGACGUUUUAUUACAUUCACGGACGAAGAACGUGCAGCUAUUAAAAAUGCAUUUGCUUGCAUACUUUGCAAAGGUUUGUUAACAAGAUAAUUUAGUCUCUAUAAGAUUUGUUGAUAGCCAGGAUAGUAUUUUGUGAAUUAAACUGUAAUACUUUCCUCUCUUCUCUCUGGAUUAAGAUCCUAGAAAUAUGAUGAAAAAACUAACAAGCAAUUUUCUUUAUUUUAAAUUUCUAGGGCCCAUGAAUGAUCCUGUUUUUGCAGUUUGCUGUCAGAGUCUCAUUGCAUGCAAAGUGUGCUUUGAGCAGUGGCAGUGAAAUGCCAACACCUGUGUGAAAUGCAGAGGAGACAACUCAAGGGAAAACACCUACAGAGUCCCAGGAAUUGAUGGUGCAUUGUCUGCUUUUGGUGAUCUUAUCAAAGAUUAAAUACAGUGGGAAAGAAAAGCUGUAUACCUGUUACAAGUGUCACACGUUAAGAAGUUUCAUGGCACUACUACGGCAGCUCUUUAUUAGUUACUGGUGUUUGUUACACGUUAAGAGUAAAUAUACUCUUGAAUAUACAGUAAAAAAAGUUAUUACUGUUCAGUUAUUGACUUAAAAGUGAGAAGCACUACAGGCAGCACUUUUUCUGCUUUAAUCAGAGUAAUUAUAUACAUUAUAUACAAUGUAAGUUAUAUACCAAAUAUCACUGUUUAAGUGUCAAGUUCAACUUUUGAAGUAAAAUGCAGCACUGGAUAACACUUUAUUAAAGCUUUAAUGUGACAGUUUUAUACCUCAAAUUACAGCAUUGUUUUAAUACAAUUGAUAAUGCCUAUGUUUAAAAGACUUGCUGUUUAUUUUUGUACUUUGUACAAUUAUUGUACACAGAAAUAUGUAAUAAAUGUUAGUUUUAUGAUGAAUGUCUUGUUCCU